GAUGAACGCUAGCGGCAGGCUUAACACAUGCAAGUCGAGGGGUAUAGUAGCAAUACUAGAGACCGGCGCACGGGUGCGUAACGCGUAUGCAAUCUACCUUUUGCAGAGGGAUAGCCCAGAGAAAUUUGGAUUAAUACCUCAUAGUAUAUAUGGAUGGCAUCAUUUAUAUAUUAAAGUCACAACGGCAAAAGAUGAGCAUGCGUCCCAUUAGCUUGUUGGUAAGGUAACGGCUUACCAAGGCAACGAUGGGUAGGGGUCCUGAGAGGGAGAUCCCCCACACUGGUACUGAGACACGGACCAGACUCCUACGGGAGGCAGCAGUGAGGAAUAUUGGACAAUGGGCGCAAGCCUGAUCCAGCCAUGCCGCGUGCAGGAUGACGGUCCUAUGGAUUGUAAACUGCUUUUGCUACAGGAAGAAACAACGCUACGUGUAGCGUACUUGACGGUACUGUGAGAAUAAGGAUCGGCUAACUCCGUACG
RNAcentral lists this ribosomal RNA (480 nucleotides) under uncultured bacterium. Its description in RNAcentral is "bacterial SSU rRNA". It matches the Rfam family "Bacterial small subunit ribosomal RNA", at positions 28 to 509 of the family's 1533-position model. The record is from RNAcentral.